AUUGAACGCUGGCGGCAGGCCUAACACAUGCAAGUAGAACGAGUGGCGGACGGGUGAGUAAUGUAUGGGAAACUGACAGAUGGAGGGGGAUAACUACUGGAAACGGUGGCUAAUACCGCAUACCAUCGGAUGUGCCCAGCUGGUCUUAGCUAGUAGGUGGGGUAAAGGCUCACCUAGGCGACGAUCUCUAGCUGGUCUGAGAGGAUGACCAUGCACACUGUAGCUGAGACACGCUCCAGCCUCCUACGGUAGGCAUCAGUGGGGAAUAGUCAACAAUGGGCGAAAGCCAGAUGCAGCCAUGCCGCUUGAUUGAAGAAGACCUUAGGGUUGGAAAGCACUUUCAUCGGUGAGGCGUUACCCGCAGAAGAAGCACCGGCUAACUCCGUGCCAGCCGCCGCGGUAAAAC
Molecule: ribosomal RNA, 406 nt
Filed under: uncultured bacterium
Lineage: Bacteria
Description: partial 16S ribosomal RNA
Rfam family: Bacterial small subunit ribosomal RNA
Source: RNAcentral